GGUACAUGGGUAGCAAUACCUGAUGACUACCGGCAAACGGGUGCGGAACACGUACGCAACUUACCCCAAAAUCUGGUGAAUAGCCCUCCGAACAGGAGGAUUCAAUACACCGUAAGCAUAAUGAGCACGGCAUCGUCUUAUUAUUAUAGGCAGCAAUGUCGAGUUUUGGAUGGGACGUGCGCCUGAUUAGGUAGUUGGCGGGGUAACGAGAACCACCAAGCCUGCGAUCAGUAACUGGUGUGAGAACACGACCAGUCACACGGGCACUGAGACACGGGCCCGACUCCUACGGGAGGCAGACAGUACAGGAAUCAUUGGUCAAUGGACGAAAGUCUGAACCAGACAUGCCGCGUGAAGGAAUGAAGGACCCUCUGGGUUAGUAAAACAUUCUUUUAUAGGGGACGAAAAGAAGCUCAUUCUUGAGACACUUGACGGU
RNAcentral lists this ribosomal RNA (436 nucleotides) under uncultured bacterium. RNAcentral describes it as "bacterial SSU rRNA". It matches the Rfam family "Bacterial small subunit ribosomal RNA", at positions 68 to 476 of the family's 1533-position model. The record is from RNAcentral.